UACGUAGGGUGCAAGCGUUAAUCGGAAUUACUGGGCGUAAAGCGCGCGUAGGCGGCUUUGCAAGUCGGGUGUGAAAUCCCCAGGCUUAACCUGGGAACUGCAUUUGUGACUGCAUCGCUGGAGUGCGGCAGAGGGGGAUGGAAUUCCGCGUGUAGCAGUGAAAUGCGUAGAUAUGCGGAGGAACACCGAUGGCGAAGGCAAUCCCCUGGGCCUGCACUGACGCUCAUGCACGAAAGCGUGGGGAGCAAACAGG
This 253-nucleotide ribosomal RNA is filed under the name uncultured bacterium. Its description in RNAcentral is "partial 16S ribosomal RNA". It matches the Rfam family "Bacterial small subunit ribosomal RNA", at positions 524 to 776 of the family's 1533-position model. The record is from RNAcentral.